This 238-nucleotide ribosomal RNA is filed under the name uncultured bacterium. Its description in RNAcentral is "partial 16S ribosomal RNA". It matches the Rfam family "Bacterial small subunit ribosomal RNA", at positions 100 to 334 of the family's 1533-position model. The record is from RNAcentral.
CGGAACGGGUGGGUAACGCGUGAGGAACCUGCCUCAAAGAGGGGGACAACAGUUGGAAACGACUGCUAAUACCGCAUAAGCCCACGGGUCGGCAUCGACCAGAGGGAAAAGGAGCAAUCCGCUUUGAGAUGGCCUCGCGUCCGAUUAGCUAGUUGGUGAGGUAAUGGCCCACCAAGGCAACGAUCGGUAGCCGGACUGAGAGGUUGAACGGCCACAUUGGGACUGAGACACGGCCCAG